CUGUUAGUUACAAAGCUGAGACCAAGAAUGAGAAAUGCUGACCCACCCCAGUGACCACACUCAACAGACGUGAGUCCCUCCCUCUUCCCAGAGGACCCUGCCUUCCUGUCUGCACUGCACAUCUCCCCAGAUUUCUGGAUUGAGAGUUGGGUUUGAAUCCCAGGUCUGUAAUACACUUCCUCGGUGGCCUCCAGUAACUGAGAACCUCUGGCGUCCAUUUGCUCGCUUGAAAAUGAAGAUGGACAAACUGCUCAUGGGUUGCCAAGCAGGUUAGUGAGGCCAUAGGGAGCUGGUCACAAAGGAGGUGCUCAGUAAAGGACAGCUGUGAUGAUGCCAUCCCCCAGACCUCCAGGAUGUGAAAACCAUUUUCCUUGUAGGGGGCCACAGAACCAGCAAGGAAUAUGCUUAAUUGGAUGAUAAUGGAUGAUCAACUAAAAGCAAGUCAGCUGGAUGUAACACACACAACAGAAAAACCCAAAAUGACAGGAGUUUAAAGAGGAGAGAAGUUCAUUUCUCACCCACAUAAAGAUGUCUGCAGCAGGCAGCCCAGGGCUGAAAGGAGAACUUCACACUUUGCUUGGGGAUCCACCUGCCUGUCUAUCUGAUCUGCUUUCUUCAAUGAAUGGCUUCCAUCCACAAGAUGCGUCACAAUCCAAGAAAUCGGUGGAAAUCCAUCCUCAAGUGCCCAUUCCAGGCAGGCGGCAGGACAGCAUGUGGAAGACAAAAACGAUGCUCCUCCCAACUGGGUCAGAAGCUUGAAACUCCUUUCCAAGAAGUUCCCUGUGCCACUUCUACUUAAAUCUCCGGCCGGAAGUUCAUCUUACGGCCUCAGCAGCUGCACAGGUUGCUGGAAAAUUGUUGCCUUUUGGGUGCAUUGCCACGUUGAAUAAAACCGAGGUUCAAUUUUAUUGAGAAAGUGGGGGAGGCUGGAUGUUGAGUGGCAACAAGCAACCUCUGCCACAAAUAGACAACCUUUCCUCACUCAACAGAUGCCGCACACUCUGCAGAGGAUGGGGUGAAAAGAGAAAGAAACGAAGAAAAACACAACACAGAGCCUGAUAUUCAGGGACUCAUGGUCUGACAGGGGAGACAGAUAUGUAAUAAAUGAGUUUAUUAGAGUGAUCACUGCACUCAUAAAAGUGUGUACUGCGAAGAUGGAUGGUACAAAGGGGGCUGUUGCCCAUUGAUCCUGAAGUUUGAUGAAGACAUAUCUCUUUAAGGUAAUGGCCUUUGCAACCAUGGAGACUUUCUCCAGGAAAACUGGAAGAGUGCAGACAAAGACAGAAGUUUUUCUUCUAGCGGUCAAAUUUUUACGUCCUCUCUUUGUGUCCGCCUCUCUUGCUGAAGUCUAUAAGCUGAUAUCUAGAGAAGAGCUGUGUACCCUUGGGAAGGCCAAUUGACUUCUGCACCUUAGCUGAAUUGCGAGAGGGCUGGAAGGGCUGAACUCCAUCCAAGGCUCCACUGAACCAUCCAGCUGAACCUUGAGGCUGUAGGAGGAGCCUGUGCCACCCAAACCAUGGAAACUCCGAGAACUAAAGAAUCCAAGAGAUUACCAACUGUCCCAUUUAACUGUGAAGAAACUGAGCUCAGAGAGGUUCAAUGUUUCUGAAGCUCGACAACAAUCAAGUAAACAAACAAACAAGAAAACUGAAAAGGUCAGAUGGUGAAAAGUGGUUUACGUAAACCUAAAAUAGGAUGAUGUGAAAAGACUGGCUAGGGGCUACUUUGGUCUGCUUAUUGCAUCUCACCCUCGUACCAGCCUUAUGAGGUAUCGGGAAACUGAAGCUCAGAGAUAUUUCACAGUUUGCCUGAGGUUAAACAGCUACUCAUUAGUGAAGCCAGGAUUCAAGUUCAGACAAUGAGACCUCACACACUGCUCUUCUCUUUAAGCAGGAGCCUGAGUGUUACACGAAGCGCCUUCGUCUGUGCAGCUGGAGGUCCCUUUGCUGUAGUCUAGCAGAUGGUGCACUACAUGGAAGGGACAGAGAUCCUGUGACUAUAGGAAAUGGUCAAGACUCUCAGACUCUCAGUAUCUCCGCCUGCAAAAUGGGUUUAUAACAUUCUCCCUCCCACCCCACAAGACCCUGGGAGGACCACCUUUAGGACUGAAUAAAGACUAUCUAGCCCAAACCCUCACUUUACAGAUAAAAAUGGUGAGACACUGGCAGGCCAUGCAGCCUCUCCGAGUUGCUCAGUGAAUUGAUGACCAAGACUGGGCUAGAAACCCAGUGUACUAGUCAGCUAAUGCCUCAUAACAAGUGCUGGAGCUUAAAGUUAAAAACAUAACCCUCCUGCAUAUAUAAAAUGAAUACAUGGCAAAGAUUUUUACCCAACUCAUGAAGUAGUGAGAAUCAGUAAGAGGUUGAGACCCGUUCAAAGGAGAUUUUGAACAGAGAGAUACAUAGAUAAUCAGGAAUGCUGAAAUAAAUUGCUAAAAUAUGCAAAACAGGUUAAUAUUCAAAAGGCCAUAAACUUUAAGGUUUGGCGUUUUCUUUCCUACACGGUACAAAUCAAUUGUAUCUGUACAGCAC
This 2531-nucleotide long non-coding RNA is filed under the name Equus caballus (horse). RNAcentral's name for it is "lncRNA (ENSECAG00000045584.1)". Lineage: Eukaryota; Metazoa; Chordata; Mammalia; Perissodactyla; Equidae. The record is from RNAcentral.